This 440-nucleotide ribosomal RNA is filed under the name uncultured bacterium. RNAcentral describes it as "partial 16S ribosomal RNA". It matches the Rfam family "Bacterial small subunit ribosomal RNA", at positions 338 to 795 of the family's 1533-position model. The record is from RNAcentral.
CCUACGGGGCGCAGCAGUGGGGGAUAUUGCACAAUGGGGGAAACCCUGAUGCAGCGACGCCGCGUGAGUGAAGAAGUAUUUCGGUAUGUAAAGCUCUAUCAGUAGGGAAGAAAAUGACAGUACCUGACCAAGAAGCCCCGGCUAACUACGUGCCAGCAGCCGCGGGAAUACGUAGGGGGCAAGCGUUAUCCGGCUUUACGGGGUGUAAAGUGAGCGUAGGCGGUUAUGUAAGUCAGGAGUGAAAGCCCGGGGCACAACCCCGGGACUGCAUUGGAAACUGUGUAACUGGAGUACAGGAGGGGCAGGCGGAAUGCCUGGUGUAGCGGUGAAAUGAGUAGAUAUCAGGAGGAACGCCGGCGGCGAAGGCGGCCUGCUGGACUGAAACUGACGUGGAGGCUCGAAAGCGUGGGGAGCAAACAGGAUUAGAUACCCCAGUAGUC